UACGUAGGCAGCGAGCGUUGUUCGGAAUUACUGGGCGUAAAGCGCACGUAGGCGGCUUCUUAAGUCAGGGGUGAAAUCCUGGAGCUCAACUCCAGAACUGCCUUUGAUACUGAGAAGCUUGAGUCCGGGAGAGGUGAGUGGAACUGCGAGUGUAGAGGUGAAAUUCGUAGAUAUUCGCAAGAACACCAGUGGCGAAGGCGGCUCACUGGCCCGGUACUGACGCUGAGGUGCGAAAGCGUGGGGAGCAAACAGG
Molecule: ribosomal RNA, 253 nt
Filed under: uncultured bacterium
Lineage: Bacteria
Description: partial 16S ribosomal RNA
Rfam family: Bacterial small subunit ribosomal RNA
Source: RNAcentral